Molecule: long non-coding RNA, 581 nt
Organism: Penaeus monodon (black tiger shrimp)
Lineage: Eukaryota; Metazoa; Arthropoda; Malacostraca; Decapoda; Penaeidae
Exons: 2
Source: RefSeq, a predicted model, not a curated record
ACACGACGAUCUCGAGUCAGUGCUUUCUAAAAUCUGCCAAGUGACGGUGUCUGUAAUCUCUGUCUUUGAAUCCCGUGCACUUUCACGUAAUUCACUAUGGCAGAGGAAGAAAAAGAAAAGGCGACUGUUAAAUGGACGUUUUGGUUAGAACUAGCCAAGACCGUUCUUAUAUUUUUGGCUGUGUGCGGAUUUGGUGCGAUGUUUUUAGGUUAUAACGUCAGCACGUGCGUUUACGCCGCGGCGGGCAUGAAAAUGUGCUGGAUGGCUUCCCGGCAGCUGAUGAAGGCGUGAGUCCCUGUCCACCUUUCCAACAAAGACUAUAUCUUUUAUAGUCUUUUCCAUCUACGUCAUUUCCUCUGCCCUCCAUCUCCCACCUUCCUUCGCUAAGCUAAGACACCCAAGGCAGGCAACUGACAACACGACGAAACCGAAAAACUCAUUGGGUGCGGCGUCGCCAAGCGUGAGAACUGCGGACGCCAAUGGUUAAUAAAAACAUUUGCAGAAGCUUUCACGUAAAGGGAAAAUAUUAUCUAAGCACCCCGUCGUGCCAGUACAACUCAGAUUAAACUUUCUCAUAUUUA